Telopea speciosissima is the source of this 245-nucleotide long non-coding RNA. RefSeq lists it as uncharacterized. Lineage: Eukaryota; Viridiplantae; Streptophyta; Magnoliopsida; Proteales; Proteaceae. The record is from RefSeq and is a predicted model, not a curated record. The transcript has 4 exons.
UCUGUAUUCUGCGAGGUAAACUACCCAUAAAAUCCUUAAGGUGUAAAUCUUUCAGAAACUCUAUAAUGGGUAGAGAACUUUGUGUGGUUGAGUUUGAAUUGAGAUGGGCAAAUCCAUGGUUUUUACUACUAGUCACCUUGAGAGUCCCUGUCCUGUGCGGCCUAAAUGGGAUUUGAUGUACAGCAAGGAACGUGUAGUAGCUCAGGCAAAAGAGGCACUUAACCUUCUCAAGGAUACUCCAAAUG